Molecule: ribosomal RNA, 253 nt
Filed under: uncultured bacterium
Lineage: Bacteria
Description: partial 16S ribosomal RNA
Rfam family: Bacterial small subunit ribosomal RNA
Source: RNAcentral
GACGGAGGAUGCAAGUGUUAUCCGGAAUCACUGGGCGUAAAGCGUGUGUAGGUGGAUGCCUAAGUACCUUGUGAAAUCCCACGGCUUAACCGUGGAACUGCUUGGUAUACUGGGUGUCUUGAGCCAGCUAGGGGCUACCGGAACAAAUGGUGGAGCGGUGAAAUGCGUAGAUAUCAUUUGGAACGCCAAUGGUGAAAACAGGUAGCUGGGGCUGUGCUGACACUGAGACACGAAAGCCAGGGGAGCGAACGGG